This 450-nucleotide ribosomal RNA is filed under the name uncultured bacterium. Its description in RNAcentral is "partial 16S ribosomal RNA". It matches the Rfam family "Bacterial small subunit ribosomal RNA", at positions 338 to 795 of the family's 1533-position model. The record is from RNAcentral.
CCUACGGGUGGCUGCAGUAAGGAAUAUUGGUCAAUGGACGCAAGUCUGAACCAGCCAUGCCGCGUGAAGGAUGAAGGCCCUCUGGGUUGUAAACUUCUUUUACCUGGGACGAAAAAUGAGAAUUCUUUCUCACUUGACGGUACCAGAGGAAUAAGCACCGGCUAACUCCGUGCCAGCAGCCGCGGUAAUACGGAGGGUGCAAGCGUUAUCCGGAUUCACUGGGUUUAAAGUGUGCGUAGGAGGGUCUGUAGAAAUCUCCAAGCUUAACUUGGAAACUGCCAUUGAUACUAUAGGUCUUGAAUUAUCUGGAGGUAAGCGGAAUAUGUCAUGUAGCGGUGAAAUGCUUAGAUAUGACAUAGAACACCCAUUGCGAAGGCAGCUUACUACGGAUAUAUUGACACUGAGGCACGAAAGCGUGGGGAUCAAACAGGAUUAGAUACCCGUGUAGUC